CCCGAUUGAUUCUGUCGGCGGUUAUAUGCUUGUCUCAAAGGCUAAGCCAUGCAUGUGUAAGUUCAAAUAAACCUAAAAUGGUGAAACCGCGAACGGCUCAUUAUAACAGCUAUAAUGUACUUGAUGUUGAUUAUCCAACUUGGAUAACUGUGGCAAUUCUAGAGCUAAUACAUGCACCAAAGCUCCGACUUUUGGACGAGCGCAUCUAUUAGAUUAAAACCAAUCGGGUUAUUUGACCCGUUAAUUGGUGACUCUGAAUAGCUAUGGCUGAUCGCAUGGUCUUGUACCGGCGACGUAUCUAUCAAGUGUCUGCCUUAUCAACUUUCGAUGGUAGUUUAUGUGCCUACCAUGGUUGUAACGGGUAACGGAGAAUAAGGGUUCGACUCCGGAGAGGGAGCCUGAGAAACGGCUACCACAUCCAAGGAAGGCAGCAGGCGCGCAAAUUACCCACUCUCGGAAUGAGGAGGUAGUGACGAAAAAUAACGAGACCGUUCUCUUUGAGGCCGGUUAUCGGAAUGGGUACAAUUUAAACCCGUUAACGAGGAUCUAUGAGAGGGCAAGUCUGGUGCCAGCAGCCGCGGUAAUUCCAGCUCUCAAAGUGUAUAUCGUCAUUGCUGCGGUUAAAAAGCUCGUAGUUGGAUCUGCGUCUCAGGACCUGGUCCAUCCAUUGGAUGAGAACUGGGCUCCUAGGCUAAUAUUGCCAGUUUUCCCUAUGUUACCUUGAUCGGUUGCGUAGGGUAGCCAGCAAGUUUACCUUGAAAAAAUUAGAGUGCUCAAUGCGGGCUAAUGCCUGAAUACUCGUGCAUGGAAUAAUGAAAUAGGAUCUCGGUUCUAUUUUGUUGGUUUUCUGAUCUGAGAUAAUGGUUAAGAGGGACGGACGGGGGCAUUCGUAUCGCUGCGUGAGAGGUGAAAUUCUUGGACCGUAGCGAGACGUCCAACUGCGAAAGCAUUUGCCAAGAAUGUCUUCAUUAAUCAAGAACGAAAGUCAGAGGUUCGAAGGCGAUCAGAUACCGCCCUAGUUCUGACCGUAAACGAUACCAACUAGCGUUCCGUCGGCGGUAAAUACGCCUUGACGGGCAGCUUCCCGGAAACGAAAGUUUUUCGGUUCCGGGGGAAGUAUGGUUGCAAAGC
This 1131-nucleotide ribosomal RNA is filed under the name Setaria digitata. Its description in RNAcentral is "SSU rRNA". It matches the Rfam family "Eukaryotic small subunit ribosomal RNA", at positions 3 to 1137 of the family's 1831-position model. The record is from RNAcentral. Lineage: Eukaryota; Metazoa; Nematoda; Chromadorea; Rhabditida; Setariidae.